Long non-coding RNA from Hyalella azteca, 649 nucleotides. RefSeq lists it as uncharacterized. The record is from RefSeq and is a predicted model, not a curated record. NCBI's taxonomy places the organism in Eukaryota, Metazoa, Arthropoda, Malacostraca, Amphipoda, Hyalellidae. The transcript is spliced from 4 exons.
UUAUUUUUCCUCGGAUGCGAGAAGAUUUACCAAAACUUAUAAGAUUCUAUCUUGGGAAAUCGGUGCAAAUUUCAUCACAAUAUCAUCUAGAUUCAAGUAUUAAAUGAUUGGUAAAUAGAUGACAGCUAUCAUUAUACCCAAAACACAUACCAAGUACCUAAGCAAAAUAUUGUCUUUUUCUCAGAUCAUUUCACCAAAGUCGCCGAUUUGACGCGGCCGUUGCCAGUCUAUUUCAUACCUGCAGGAGCCGAAUUUAUUCAUUAACUUUAUAGCGAAUUUAUUAACUUAGUCCUUGACAACUCAUUUUCAAUCUUACUUGGCAAAUUUUGAUCUACAGAUGCAUUCCCUCGCCGCCGUUCUCUUGGCUGUGAUCAGCCUGAGCGCUUCAUGCCACGGCAAAAAAUACACGAAGUGCACGCUUGCAAGGGAGCUGAAAUGCGUCUACGGCUUUGCGCAGAACAGCCUCGCCGACUGGGUGUGUUUGGUUCAGCAUGAGAGCUCCUUCGAUACCGCGGCUUUUCAUCAAAACACGGAUAGUCAUAAAAGUAAAGAUUAUGGCUUGUUUCAGAUCAACGACUACUAUUGGUGUAAAUCGGGCACAGGCACCAACGACUGCAACAUCGAUUGUGAUAGUGAGAAAUUUUUUUGC